GGUAGCUGGAGUUUUUUUUUUUUUUUUUUUUUUUGCGAUGGACUUAGCACCGAGAUUGGUAAAUGACUAAAUAUAGGGAUGAAGUUGGGUUUUGUUAGGAGUUUAUAAAUUUAGAGACAUGCUUCACAUAACUGUUGUAAGACGAUUUUUUUCUUAAAAACUGCUUAAAUUUAUAUUUGAAGAGUUGUUAUAUAACCACUAGGAGAUGGGAGCCAAACGGACCUGACUACCGCAUAUACUCACCAACACCGAUCGUAUUUUCGUGGCUGCUUUCUAUCUACUACUAUAGCGAAAUAAAAAUGGCAGAUGAGGCCAUGACCGAGAGCUUUCUCAAAAAGGACAGAUGUCUGAGAGGUGUUUGGUACUAGUAGUAUUUUAUUUUUGGAAUAACGUGGUUACUUUCAAGGUUUGGAAUAAUAAUAGUAAUUGGCUUAGGACAAAGCUACUGUGACAUGAAAAAAACAGGAGUAUUAAUAAAAUAUGAGUGGUAAGAUAAUAGUAGAUUAUAAUGACAGCGUAUAUGAGCCCUAGGAUGGAAACCUAAUGUCCAAGCCGUUUAUUUUUCUACCUCUCGGCAAUUCCUCGCUCAUGCUGCCUAUGCGAGGAGUGUUCACGCUAGUAUUUAAAGGUUUAACAGUUGGUAAUUGGUAAGCAUUGGUAUUGUUUUUCUCCGAGUGGAGACUGAAGGCGAUACCAAUAAAAGUCUAACGCAUUAAUAGAGAGAAAAUGAUUUGGUUCCUUUUUUGGUUGGAAAAUAAACAUCGACCAUAAAUGUUGACAGCUACUCCAUCCAACAUGACUCGAGAGUGACCUCAACUCUCAACGUGACUAUAUAUCCUCCGACGUGGGAUGUAAACGAUCAGAUACACAAAUUAAGACAUAUAUAGAGA
Molecule: long non-coding RNA, 890 nt
Filed under: Zea mays
Lineage: Eukaryota; Viridiplantae; Streptophyta; Magnoliopsida; Poales; Poaceae
Description: long non-coding RNA NONZMAT004102
Source: RNAcentral